UACGUAGGGGGCUAGCGUUGUCCGGAAUCAUUGGGCGUAAAGCGCGUGUAGGCGGCUCGGUAAGUCCGCUGUGAAAGUCGGGGGCUCAACCCUCGGAUGCCGGUGGAUACUGUCGGGCUAGAGUACGGAAGAGGCGGGUGGAAUUCCUGGUGUAGCGGUGAAAUGCGCAGAUAUCAGGAGGAACACCAAUUGCGAAGGCAGCUCGCUGGGACGUUACUGACGCUGAGACGCGAAAGCGUGGGGAGCAAACAGG
This 253-nucleotide ribosomal RNA is filed under the name uncultured bacterium. RNAcentral describes it as "partial 16S ribosomal RNA". It matches the Rfam family "Bacterial small subunit ribosomal RNA", at positions 524 to 776 of the family's 1533-position model. The record is from RNAcentral.